GAACCACUAAAACACUAAGAAAUACUACAAUGCUUCCUUCCAGGAAUAAUACUCCUUCAUCAACUGAUAACCACAAUGUCCAACUCUGCACUCUCAAAAGACUGCUCAAAUCACAAUAAUUUCCAUCCAACACCAGAAAGAACAGACUUCACUCCAACCAAUCUGGAUCCACACAACUUCUGUAAUCACAGACUUCCUCUAUCCAAAAUACAUACAACUCUCGAUAAACAAUAAUCAUAAUCUUCCAAUCAUAAUCAGUCUUCUAAUAACUUUUUAUAUAAUUCAAUCACAUAAUACUCUAAUUACAUAAUCAAUAACUCAUAAAUCAAUCUCUCAUUUAUUCCACAGACUCACUUCUCAGUAUUCAAAAACUAUCCAUUACUCUUCAACAACAAAGACAACAAAAAAAACAAAGAGGUAGCACCAAGCUUAGCCCUAGCUCAUGACUAUUACAGUCUGGCCUCCCA
This 467-nucleotide long non-coding RNA is filed under the name Physcomitrium patens. RNAcentral describes it as "long non-coding RNA (PPAT_LNC002745)". The record is from RNAcentral. Lineage: Eukaryota; Viridiplantae; Streptophyta; Bryopsida; Funariales; Funariaceae.